AGGGUGAGGGGCGCCACCGAGGAAGCGCCCACCGGGCUCCCGGGGCUGCCAGGCCCCAAAUUGAGGAAGUUGACUGCCAGAUCACACUCUGUUGGCCCACGCAGAUAGAUUCCAUUCAUCCUUUCUAAUGUCUACACCAUAUUUUGGAUAACAUGCCAUCAUCUCACAUUGUGUUGAAAGAAGAAACCAGAAUGUUGGGGUUGAUGUAUGCCAUAUGGAUGAAUUUAAACAGUUUCGGCCUUGCAAUAAUUGGUAUACUUCUAAUUGCAUGUGAAAUUAUACUCUUUUUAACGAAAGAUGAAACUAUUCAGUGGCCACAUGUACCCAGUAACAGAGGGAGCAAAGCAAAUCUUAUCCUCAAAGAACUGCAGCUGCUUGUUAGAUCUACCUGGUGGUUCCAUAGAGAAACUGCUCAGAGAACCUGCCUUUACCUCGCCUAAAACAGAACUAUCCCGGAGCUCAGCAAAGGAGUCCAUUCAUCCUCUAUAACUGCUAUACAAUAUCUCUGUUAAAAUGCUGAGAAGAUUUAUCCUAAAAGAAGGCACCAAAGCAAUGGGGUUCAUCAACUCAGGAUCCAGUAGUGUAAUACAGAAGCCUGUUACGAGAUAUAAGGCACUUUGCCCUCGGAAAUCUCACUGUCGGAAUCCUUGGAAAUCACACCACGCACAACUUCUAUUUCUUCAUAAUUUGCAAAGAACCAGUGUGACUCCAGUCAAGAACAAAAGAUUAAUUGUGAAUUAGCGAAGAACUCUAAUUUUUUCAAGCAGCCACAUGGAAAACGCAUUCUAAUGAAAUCCUUUCCAUUGCUCUUUUUUCUUAGUUCUUCAAUAAAGCAUGCGAUUUGAUCACAA
RNAcentral lists this long non-coding RNA (851 nucleotides) under Homo sapiens (human). RNAcentral describes it as "non-protein coding lnc-MS4A8-17:6". Lineage: Eukaryota; Metazoa; Chordata; Mammalia; Primates; Hominidae. The record is from RNAcentral.